UCACUGUUAGGAGUUGUUUGUGACUGGGUAUUGGGCAUUGGCAUAACAUACACCGAACAUCUUUUCACGUUUUGAUCCUUGGAGCAUUUGAUAACUCUGCAGCUUUGGUGGAAGUUAUUAUUUGGUAGCAGUGAAUAAUUUACCAACUCUCCCGAGUGACAAAGUGGCUGUCUAGCAGCCUGUAGCCUAGGCUGGGAAGGAGGGAUAAAUUUUUCUUUUGCAAUCCGCAUCUGAAGCCAGCUAUCUUGCAGGCAGUGCCGGUACGCAAGAACACUAGGAGAUCGUGGUGUAAUGGAAAUAUAUGUUGUUGCUACUAUAAUCAAGAAUUGGCUUCGCCCAGCAAAGUUUAGGAUUGAUGCAAGGAACAAGAGAAAAAUCAAGAAGGCAAUUUGGGAGAUGAAGAAGACCAGAAUUUAUUUUUUUUGUAAAUUGUACAUAUCUUUUUAUAUUUGUGUUUAAAUAAU
Long non-coding RNA from Macrosteles quadrilineatus (aster leafhopper), 464 nucleotides. RefSeq lists it as uncharacterized. Lineage: Eukaryota; Metazoa; Arthropoda; Insecta; Hemiptera; Cicadellidae. The record is from RefSeq and is a predicted model, not a curated record. The transcript has 4 exons.